RNAcentral lists this transfer RNA (90 nucleotides) under Bryobacterales bacterium. RNAcentral's name for it is "tRNA-Ser". It matches the Rfam family "tRNA". From Rfam's summary of the family: Transfer RNA (tRNA) molecules are approximately 80 nucleotides in length. Their secondary structure includes four short double-helical elements and three loops (D, anti-codon, and T loops). Further hydrogen bonds mediate the characteristic L-shaped molecular structure. tRNAs have two regions of fundamental functional importance: the anti-codon, which is responsible for specific mRNA codon recognition, and the 3' end, to which the tRNAs corresponding amino acid is attached (by aminoacyl-tRNA synthetases). tRNAs cope with the degeneracy of the genetic code in two manners: having more than one tRNA (with a specific anti-codon) for a particular amino acid; and 'wobble' base-pairing, i.e. permitting non-standard base-pairing at the 3rd anti-codon position. Lineage: Bacteria; Pseudomonadati; Acidobacteriota; Terriglobia; Bryobacterales. RNAcentral also lists the same sequence under 1 other name. The record is from RNAcentral.
GGAGGAAUGGCCGAGUGGUUGAAGGCGGCGGUCUUGAAAACCGCAAGGCUCGCAAGGGUCUCGGGGGUUCGAAUCCCUCUUCCUCCGCCA